UACGAAGGGGGCAAGCGUUGUUCGGAAUUACUGGGCGUAAAGGGCGCGUAGGCGGUGCUCUAAGUCAGGCGUGAAAGCCCUGGGCUCAACCCGGGAAUUGCGCUUGAUACUGGGGCGCUUGAAUCCAGGAGAGGUUGGUGGAAUUCCCAGUGUAGAGGUGAAAUUCGUAGAUAUUGGGAAGAACACCGGUGGCGAAGGCGGCCAACUGGACCACAACUGACGCUGAGGCGCGAAAGCGUGGGGAGCAAACAGG
RNAcentral lists this ribosomal RNA (253 nucleotides) under uncultured bacterium. RNAcentral describes it as "partial 16S ribosomal RNA". It matches the Rfam family "Bacterial small subunit ribosomal RNA", at positions 524 to 776 of the family's 1533-position model. The record is from RNAcentral.